RNAcentral lists this ribosomal RNA (979 nucleotides) under Radix sp. MOTU5. RNAcentral describes it as "16S ribosomal RNA". Lineage: Eukaryota; Metazoa; Mollusca; Gastropoda; Lymnaeidae. The record is from RNAcentral.
AUUAAUUUUUUUUUGUUUUACCUGAAACGUAAAUUUUAAUUUUUUUAUUUUUACCUUUUGCAUAAGUGUUUAACUACUAUAAAAAAUUGUUAUUUUUCCCCGAAUUAGAAAGAUCUAAAUAUAAAAAUCCCUUAGGUUUUUUCCUAAUGUAGCAUUAUUAGACUUAUAUUUUUAUUUAGAAGUGAAAAACUUACACUUUCUAGGAUAGCUGGAUUUUUCUAUAAAGUAUUUAGUACUUAAAAAAAUUAGGAAGUUUUUAGAUUUUCUAAAGGAAGAAUAAUUUAAUUUUUGUUAUUUUUUACGAAAUAAAACUCUAAAUUAUUUAAAUAUUUAUUAUUUUUUAAUUUUAAAAUCUUUAUUUUAAGAAAAAAUUUUCGUAAAUUUUUAUUGAAAUUUAUAAUGUUUAAAUUAGUAAAAAAUAAAAUUAAAAAAAGGAACUCGGCAAAAAAAUUUUUAUCUGUUUAUCAAAAACAUAGCUUAAAGAAAUUUAUUUUAAGUAAAUUCUGCCCAGCGUAAAACUAUUAGCGGCCGCAGUACCUUGACUGUGCUAAGGUAGCAUAAUCAAUUGGCUUUUAAUUGAAGUCUGGAAUGAAAGGUUAAAUAAGAAAUUAACUGUCUCUUUUUAAUUUUUAUGAAUUUAUUUAUUAAGUGAAAAUACUUUUUUAAAGAAAAAAGACGAGAAGACCCUUAGAAUUUUAAUUUCUUUUACUUUAUUGUAAACUUAUUUUUGUUGGGGCGACAUUGAAACAAAUUUUAAACUUUCACAAUUUUUACAAGACAUUUAUUUUUGAAUGAACAAAUUACCUUAGGGAUAACAGCAUAAUGAAAUUAUUAGCUUGUGACCUCGAUGUUGGACUAGGAACUAAAAGACUAACCGUCAAAAUAGAGUGUUCUGUUCGAACAAAUUUUUCCUACAUGAUCUGAGUUCAGACCGGUGUAAGCCAGGUCAGUUUCUAUCUUUUACUUAUUAUAUUUUUAG